RNAcentral lists this transfer RNA (63 nucleotides) under Uzeldikra longiprocessa. RNAcentral describes it as "tRNA-Thr". Lineage: Eukaryota; Metazoa; Arthropoda; Insecta; Hemiptera; Cicadellidae. The record is from RNAcentral.
ACCAUUAUAAUUUAAUUAAAAUACUGAUUUUGUAAAUCAGAGAUAGAGUAAAUCUUUAUGGUA